RNAcentral lists this ribosomal RNA (253 nucleotides) under uncultured bacterium. Its description in RNAcentral is "partial 16S ribosomal RNA". It matches the Rfam family "Bacterial small subunit ribosomal RNA", at positions 524 to 776 of the family's 1533-position model. The record is from RNAcentral.
UACGAAGGGUGCUAGCGUUGCUCGGAAUCACUGGGCGUAAAGCGCACGUAGGCGGAUUCUUAAGUCGGGGGUGAAAUCCUGGAGCUCAACUCCAGAACUGCCUUCGAUACUGAGGAUCUCGAGUCCGGGAGAGGUGAGUGGAACUGCGAGUGUAGAGGUGAAAUUCGUAGAUAUUCGCAAGAACACCAGUGGCGAAGGCGGCUCACUGGCCCGGUACUGACGCUGAGGUGCGAAAGCGUGGGGAGCAAACAGG